This 253-nucleotide ribosomal RNA is filed under the name uncultured bacterium. RNAcentral's name for it is "partial 16S ribosomal RNA". It matches the Rfam family "Bacterial small subunit ribosomal RNA", at positions 524 to 776 of the family's 1533-position model. The record is from RNAcentral.
UACGAAGGGGGCUAGCGUUGCUCGGAAUUACUGGGCGUAAAGCGUGCGCAGGCGGUUUUUUAAGCCAGGUGUGAAAUCCCCGGGCUCAACCUGGGAAUGGCAUUUGGGACUGCAAGGCUGGAGUGUGGCAGAGGAGACUGGAAUUCCUGGUGUAGCAGUGAAAUGCGUAGAUAUCAGGAGGAACACCGAUGGCGAAGGCAGGUCUCUGGGCUGACACUGACGCUCAUGCACGAAAGCGUGGGGAGCAAACAGG